UUGCUUUGGCAGCACAUGAACUAAAAUCGACGAUACAGAGAAGAUGAGCACGGCCCCUGUGCAAAUGGUGACAUGCAAAUUUCCAUAAAAAAGAAGGCUAUUU
This 103-nucleotide small nuclear RNA is filed under the name Catagonus wagneri (Chacoan peccary). The record is from RNAcentral. Lineage: Eukaryota; Metazoa; Chordata; Mammalia; Artiodactyla; Tayassuidae.